GGGGAUUUAGCUCAGUGGCAUAAGCACCUGCCUUGCAAGCAGGCGGUUGUGAGUUCAAUCCAUGGUGCUCA
Molecule: transfer RNA, 71 nt
Filed under: Cavia porcellus (domestic guinea pig)
Lineage: Eukaryota; Metazoa; Chordata; Mammalia; Rodentia; Caviidae
Rfam family: tRNA
About the family: Transfer RNA (tRNA) molecules are approximately 80 nucleotides in length. Their secondary structure includes four short double-helical elements and three loops (D, anti-codon, and T loops).
Source: Rfam by way of RNAcentral